RNAcentral lists this long non-coding RNA (2954 nucleotides) under Sus scrofa (pig). RNAcentral's name for it is "lncRNA (ENSSSCG00065061706.1)". Lineage: Eukaryota; Metazoa; Chordata; Mammalia; Artiodactyla; Suidae. The record is from RNAcentral.
GCUGGAUCUUUAACCCACUGGGUGAGGCCAGGGAGCAAACCUGGGUCCUCGUGGAUACUAGGCGGGUUCAUUAACCACUGAAGCAUGAUGGGAACUCCUAAAGGCAAUUUUCUCAUCUUCUAUUUUCUUCAACAGAAAGAUUCGAUAAAUUAUCUAUUGUUUUCAUCUUCAAUUUCCCAAUAUUCAACCUAAAAGACCGUUUAUGUCUAGACAUGGAGAACAGACUUGGGUUGCCAAGGGGGAGGGGGAAGGAAGUGGGAUGGAUGGGGGGGAGUUUGGGGUGAGUAGAUGCAAACAACUGCGUUUGGAGGGGAUCAACAACGAGGUCCUACUGGAUCGCACAGGGAACUAUACCCAACCUCUUGGGAUAGAAUAUGAUGGAAGAUAAUAGCAGAAAAAGAAUAUAUAUAAGGAUAGAUGAGAGAUGAGAGAUAGAUGAUAGAUAAACGACUAGGUCGCCAUGCUGUACAACAGAAAUUGACACAACACUGUCAGUUAACUAUACUCAAAGAAAACAUUAAAAAUAAAUAAACAGGAGUUUUCUCAGUGUUAAUGAUGAAAUGCUGGCCAAACUCCCAGGGGGGGAGACUAAUUGACAGUGGCAAUACCCUGAGAUCCUGGGUUUUGCUCUAUCACUGUCACUGGGUCACUUCUCAUAGAAGGUCCUGACUACUUCAGAAAUGCUCAGACAGUACAUUGCGUUAAGGAGUAGAGUGUAAGGAAAUACUUUUCCUGAUGCUUUUAAGCUAUUCACAAACUGCUACCAUACAUCUACCCAUGGAAAUGUAUUUCCUUGGAAGACUGUAUUUAUGUCUGGGCCCCCCAAAAACAGAUGAGAAGAUGACUCCCACCUCCCUAAUGCCUGCUGGGGAGAUUUUCUUCUCAGCUUGUCCUCAGGAUUUGGCAAAGGAAAAGAAAUAUUAAAUAUUAAUAUGCUGUCUGACGACUGCCCCUACUGAAGAAAACGGUUGUUCCAAACCACCCAUGAAACACAGGAACAGUUCUAUUAAAGAAGGAUGGUUACUUUAGUUUGGGCUAGAAGAGAAUUAGUCUAAGAAUUCCAUGGUUAUAGAUUCUGAUCAAAAGAUACAGGGAAAAUGUUAGUUUCAGAUGAUUACUAAGAAGAAGAUUUUCUUUAGGUGCUCUACAAAGAUAGCACGUACACAGUAAUCAUGAUUUAAUUGUGGAUUAGUACCAUUGGACAAUGUCUAACAUUUCCACUUGAGAAUUACACAACUACCACCAUCCACAUCUAAACAAAGGGGCGAAGAGGUAACUCUUCCACCUGGAUUCUUGGGAUGUUGUGUAUAAAAAGGAGAUAGAUGAAUGGGAAUGUUGGCAUGGCUGUAACGCUGCAGUACACAGGAAACGACGCCAGGGGGCCUCUUCCAUCUGUCUGGAAGAGGAAAGCCCAAGAGAUCACCCUUGUGCUGUGGGCUUCUUAGAUGCUCCUAGAAAGCUGCCAAAGGGAGUUCCUGUUGGGGCUCAGUGGAAAUGAGUCUGACUACUAUCCAUGAGGACACGGGUUUGAUCCCAUUGGCUGUGGCUGGGGGGGCUGGAGGCUCUCUCCCUGAUUCAACCUCUAAUCUGGGAACCUCCACAUUCUGCAGGUGUGGCCCUAAAAGUAAAAAAGCUGCAAAGAACCAACGUGCCCAGAGUGUUCCAUACACUUCCAAAGCAGAAGAGAAGAGAAUGAAUCUCUCCAUAUUGUUAAUUAGGAUCUCAAAGGAGUCUCGGUUUUGCAUUGCUACUCUGUGAUAUAUAUCAAACAUCAUUUGUCAUGAAAAUACAUGAAACUAGAUUUGAUAUGAAUAAAAGGGGAAAAGAGGUUUUGGGGGUUGGAGGGUUGGUUCUCUUUUGCUUUUAUUUUUGUUUUUGUUUUGGCCACACCAGCAACAUGUGUAAAUUCCUGGGCCAGGGAUAAAACCACUGCCACAGCAGUGACCUAUGGCACUGCAGUGACAGUGCCAGCUCCUUAAACCACUGCACCAUAAGAGCAUUCCAAAGAAGUAUUUCCUAUUAAGGUAAAUUUCUUUUAUUACCAGAGUAAUAUAACAUGCCUCCUUCAAAAUGCAAAUCUGGUAUAUGUUCAUCAUCAAAGGAAGAAGCAAAGAAUGUUCAGUAUUUAAAUGUGAAGGAAGGCCUAUGACAAUCACACUGUAAGCCACUGGCUAAUGAGUGUCAUUUUGCAGUAUCUUUAUAUUUCCUCCAGGUAACUAUUCCUUCUUUCUUUGAAAUAAAAAGGAUCCUAAAAGGUAGAGUAAAUCUCAAGAAAUAUCACUGGGAAAACUUGUAGAGUUGAACCUUACAUGCUAUAGAAAUGGAAGCUUCUCCUCAAAGUCAUGGAAUUCAGAAUUAAAUCCUGUAAUUAAGUGAGGAACUGGGGUUUUACUACUGCUUCAUGGUAAUUGAAUAUCUGCACUACAUGAGUUCAAUCUUCCUAAAUGGUGUGUUACUAUCCAAAUAUGCAUGUUAUAACCAAUUUUUAAAUUUUGCAAUAACUAUACCCCCUUGCUUGCUUCAAACCAUGUUACAAAUACAAUUCUUUGAGAGAGAGGAAUAUGAUUUUACAAGCCAGCAGCUCCUCCUCAUUAAAAAAAAUUAAGAGUCUCCAGGACCUGGGGAGAGGACAGCAGCCCACAGGCAGAGCCCCAGCCCUACGCCAUGGCGCCCAAGCCCCCCUCCCCAACCCUAAAACCCCGUUUUUUGGUCUCAACUCAGUGAUCUGCCACCGAGCUGACUGCAGCUUGGGGAGGCUGAAGUACAGCAGAGGCCACAAAGUGAUCCCCAGAGCUCAGGCUCCCAGCGGCCACAGCUCCCAGGCUCAGGCCACCAGUGCCCCCUGCCCCACCCAAACCCGGACCCCUCCUUUCCUGUCUCUGGUUCUCCACACCUGAACUUUGGGGGAGCUCCAGCCGACAAACGUUCUGACGACUUGCAGUGAACUCCGGCCC